GCCUGGGUGGCUCAGUCGGUUAAGCGUCUGACUUCAGCUCAGGUCAUGAUCUCACGGUUCGUGGGUUCGAACUCCACGUCGGGCU
RNAcentral lists this transfer RNA (85 nucleotides) under Felis catus (domestic cat). It matches the Rfam family "tRNA". Rfam says of the family: Transfer RNA (tRNA) molecules are approximately 80 nucleotides in length. Their secondary structure includes four short double-helical elements and three loops (D, anti-codon, and T loops). The record is from Rfam by way of RNAcentral. Lineage: Eukaryota; Metazoa; Chordata; Mammalia; Carnivora; Felidae.